Molecule: long non-coding RNA, 1740 nt
Organism: Helianthus annuus (common sunflower)
Lineage: Eukaryota; Viridiplantae; Streptophyta; Magnoliopsida; Asterales; Asteraceae
Exons: 2
Source: RefSeq, a predicted model, not a curated record
GUUGUGAAGAGACCAGUGAGUUAACCCUGCCCGGUUAACCGUUGUUUCAUCACCUUUGUUAGGUGAAAUUUGAAGCCCUAAAUAGGCUUCAAAUUCUUUUAUUUAUGCCCUUUUAUCUAAACUAUAAGAAUCCAAGAAACCUCGUGUCCCCGUCAAUACCGUGCUAUCCUAUGACGCCACGUAAUACACAGCUUGCACCGGCCAUAUGGCAUUUAAGGGUUGAUGAUAGAAAAGAAGAAGGAAUCAUACCCUUUCAUAGGUUAUGUUUUGCUGUCUAUCCUAACUAGCUUGGAGUGGUUCGGUUUAAUAGGAUGUUCAAAGUAGUUCGCGUCUUUGGUGUUAAUUCUUGUUUGUUUUUGGUACGGAUUCCUUUUUUGUGGCAACUGGCAACUACGAGAAGUUGUUAUUGGAAAACUCACAGGGACCCACCAAUACCCGACUCACUAAUGGGAUCAGGUAAAACGCAGCUUGCGCCGGAGAGGUGGCCUUCAAUAGGGUUAAAAGGCACAAAACACUGGAUUGGGACCUGGUAUGGGUUUCUUGAUGAUGUGUGAUUUGGACUUCCUGUAUUGGGUUCUAGGAACAAGUUGGGUAAUAAGCGUUUGUUUUUAUGCGUAAUUUCCGUGACCCACACAAUACGCAUUCGGAUUUUUUUGGUGGUCGAUAAUCGCUUAAAUAAAACGUCACCAAAACUCCAAAAGCAAUUUUUAUGUUGGAAUGUAACCCAUCCUUGAAAUAGAAGUCUCAGUGUUUAUUCGUUUGUCUUCUGAUUCUCACAGCCACAAAUUGUGAAGCUGCUGCUGAUUGCAUCUUUUUAAAAGCUUAAACUAAAUGGAUCUUGGCAAGGCCGGCCCUAAGGGUGGGCGGGGAGGACCACCGGCCAGGGCCUGAUAUUUUGAAGGGCACGUUAUUUUAAAAAAAAAUCCGAUAAAUAUAUGUAAAAAAAAAUUUUUUAAUAGGGUAUACCCAUACAAACACCAACACAGGUCCACUUACAAAACUAUUCUUAUGGUUUAGAUUAGUUACUAGCCCAUUGGCAUUAGUUUUAGAUCUUUAGUGAGCCCAAUACCCAAUUUCGUUAAGGCCUAAGGGCACGUUUUUCGAGCUCGAACAGUGUACACGAAUUCUCAGGACCGGCCAUCUUGGGUCGGGACAGUCAGUCCCAGUCGAAAUCUAGGCGAGCCGGUCCACCAGCCAGCCUGUCAAUCCCUGGAGUUUGAUACAUAUAUGUUUAUUAUGUUAGUUUAACCAGAACCACAUAAAAGAAAAAGUCUAAAGUUGACAAUCUGCCAAGUUUGAAGUAUAAUAUGUGGGCUACAACAACUUAAAACUAGAUGACCAUAUUAUCAUAUAAUUCCAUGAAUGUUUCUUUCUUGAGAUGGUAGUUUUAAACCAUUUACAUGUCAAUUUGGGUAAAAGUUGGCCUCUAAAAGGAUGUAAGGAACAAUACAAACCAAAGCAAGUCAACCGGAUUUAGAUCCCAACGGUUUGGUUUUGCUGUUUGGUUAUUUUAUGCUUUAGUCCGGUUUGAAACUUUGAACCGGUAAUUUGUGGAAUAUGUAUUUAUGUAUAUAUGGAUUAGAAUUAUGAACCAUAUUUAUCAUUUAUAGAAGAGUAGUUUGAAAUCUUGCCUUUCAUCCAUGGGGGCCACAUAUUUUAAGGGACGGAAGUCGUAACAAAUUGCCAACCUCAAGGAUGAAAAUGAUAAAAAAAAAAAAAAAAAAAAAAAAAAAAAAAAAA